Molecule: long non-coding RNA, 520 nt
Organism: Macrobrachium nipponense
Lineage: Eukaryota; Metazoa; Arthropoda; Malacostraca; Decapoda; Palaemonidae
Exons: 3
Source: RefSeq, a predicted model, not a curated record
GAACGGUGGAAGAUUAGUGCCUUAUAAUAUCGAAGGAGUUGAUGAUCUGUCAGAGUUCGUGUGAUUUAAGGUUUAAACCGCAAGAUACGUGUAUUUUAGAAGUUUGAAUAAGAAGUGAUUAGUGUCAUAAUUAUAAGGCGGCAUGAAUUGAACAAUGGCUAGGUACAACAUGGAGUGGCGUGUACAACCUCCUUGACGUAGAGAAUGAAAAUUAAAGAAACAAAUAGCAAAAACUCAGACGAUUUUUCUGGGAAAGAACCUUAGUGAAUAAGGGAAAGAAAAGUGAAAGAAGUUGACAUCUUGGAGAUCAAAAUCCAUAGGAAGCAGAAAUGGCGACUCUGGCUAUGCCACGGUUCAGCCGUUACGGUGACCCAGGGUCGACUACAAUCCAGUCCUACCGUCCGCCGACGACUUUUCCUCUGAACACUCAGUAUGAACAGGUUCCAAAUGACAUAAAUACCAAUUACGGCACUAAUUACUUACCCUACGAUAGCUACAGAAGGCAGACGCCCUCCUACGC